AAGCUUUGAUCCGGAGAUUUCCGAAUGGGGAAACCCCCUGUCUUUAAUCGGACAGGAUUCCUGCCUGAAUCCAUAGGGCAGGAAGGGCACACCCGGGGAACUGAAACAUCUCAGUACCCGGAGGAAGAGAAAGCAAUUGCGAUUUCCCAAGUAGCGGCGAGCGAACAGGAAACAGCCCAAACCGGAAGGCUUGCCUUCCGGGGUUGUAGGACACUCAUAUGGGAGUUACAAAAGAACGGGGUAAGUGAAGCGGCCUGGAAAGGCCUGCCGGAGAAGGUAAAAGCCCUGUAACUGAAACUUCGUUCUCUCCCGAGUGGAUCCUGAGUACGGCGGGACACGAGGAAUCCCGCCGGAAUCCGGGAGGACCAUCUCCCAAGGCUAAAUACUCCCUAGUGACCGAUAGUGAACCAGUACCGUGAGGGAAAGGUGAAAAGCACCCCGGGAGGGGAGUGAAAGAGAUCCUGAAACCGUGUGCCUACAAGUAGUCAGAGCCCGUUAACGGGUGAUGGCGUGCCUUUUGUAGAAUGAACCGGCGAGUUACGGUCUCAUGCAAGGUUAAGCUGAAGAAGCGGAGCCGCAGCGAAAGCGAGUCUGAACAGGGCGAAAGAGUAUGAGGCCGCAGACCCGAAACCAGGUGAUCUACCCAUGUCCAGGGU
Molecule: ribosomal RNA, 656 nt
Filed under: Heyndrickxia coagulans
Lineage: Bacteria; Bacillati; Bacillota; Bacilli; Caryophanales; Bacillaceae
Description: bacterial LSU rRNA
Rfam family: Bacterial large subunit ribosomal RNA
Source: RNAcentral